Long non-coding RNA from Heterocephalus glaber (naked mole-rat), 509 nucleotides. The record is from Ensembl. NCBI's taxonomy places the organism in Eukaryota, Metazoa, Chordata, Mammalia, Rodentia, Bathyergidae.
UGGGGCUCCACUGGGCUGCAGUUGCCAGUUAACAGUUGCUGAGGGACAGUUGCCAGGCCACCACUGUUGUAUCCCAGCAGAGGGCUCCUGAGACCUCUUGGGAAGGUAAGAGGAAGUUGCAGGCCACCAGCAGGGUCCUGGCCAGGGCUGAGGCUAGGCCCUGCCCUCCUGUGGCCCCCUGGGGACCCAGGAGUCAAGGAAGGGAGCAGGGACUGGAGAGAGACCAGGUGGCUUGGCUGGGCUAAGUCUUCUCCCCCCAGGCUGCCCUCAGCCCAGACACCCUAGCAUCUGUCUGUCGAGCCAGAGUGAUUUCCCACCAGUCUUUAAUCUGAGCAGAAACAGCAAUUGACCAACCUCCGAUGUGAAACUCACUUCUGGAUUUAGAGUCGCGUCCUUCAGAGAGACCCUGGACUUGCAGCUGCCAGAGGAUGCCACCUGGGCGCUGGCAGCAUUCCAGCUCUCCCGACACUGUGCACCGGACCCCGUGUUCCGCACACAGCUGCCAGGGC